AGAGUUUGAUCCUGGCUCAGAACGAACGCUGGCGGCAUGCCUAAUACAUGCAAGUCGAACGAGCCCUUCGGGGUUAGUGGCGCACGGGUGCGUAACGCGUGGGAAUCUGCCCUUGGGUUCGGAAUAACGUCUGGAAACGGACGCUAAUACCGGAUGAUGACGAAAGUCCAAAGAUUUAUCGCCCAGGGAUGAGCCCGCGUAGGAUUAGCUAGUUGGUGAGGUAAAGGCUCACCAAGGCGACGAUCCUUAGCUGGUCU
RNAcentral lists this ribosomal RNA (257 nucleotides) under uncultured Sphingobium sp. Its description in RNAcentral is "partial 16S ribosomal RNA". It matches the Rfam family "Bacterial small subunit ribosomal RNA", at positions 8 to 293 of the family's 1533-position model. The record is from RNAcentral. Lineage: Bacteria; Pseudomonadati; Pseudomonadota; Alphaproteobacteria; Sphingomonadales; Sphingobiaceae.